GGUCAGAACAUUUUUCUCAUAGCUUUUUCC
RNAcentral lists this non-coding RNA (30 nucleotides) under Mus musculus (house mouse). The record is from RNAcentral. Lineage: Eukaryota; Metazoa; Chordata; Mammalia; Rodentia; Muridae.